This 458-nucleotide ribosomal RNA is filed under the name uncultured bacterium. RNAcentral's name for it is "partial 16S ribosomal RNA". It matches the Rfam family "Bacterial small subunit ribosomal RNA", at positions 338 to 795 of the family's 1533-position model. The record is from RNAcentral.
CCUACGGGGGCAGCAGUGAGGAAUUUUGGUCAAUGGGCGGGAGCCUGAACCAGCCAAGCCGCGUGAGGGAAGAAGGUACAGCGUAUCGUAAACCUCUUUUGUCAGGGAACAAAGGCGGGGACUAGUCCCCGGAUGAGGGUACCUGAAGAAAAAGCAUCGGCUAACUCCGUGCCAGCAGCCGCGGUAAUACGGAGGAUGCGAGCGUUAUCCGGAUUUAUUGGGGUUAAGGGGUGCGCAGGCGGCCUGUUAAGUCAGCGGUAAAAGCCCGGGGCUCAACCCCGGCGAGCCGUUGAAACUGGCGGGCUGGAGUUGGAGAGAAGUACGCGGAAUGCGCGGUGUAGCGGUGAAAUGCUUAGAUAUCGCGCAGAACCCCGAUUGCGAAGGCAGCGUACCGGCUCCACACUGACGCUGAGGCACGAAAGCGUGGGUAUCGAACAGGAUUAGAUACCCCAGUAGUC